CCAAAACGUUUCGUUUUAAGGUCCCGUUUUCACAUUUUUUUUCUAUCGAUAUGUUUAUCGUUUUUGGCAAUUGACCUGGCUGUUUUUUAAAUAUACAGCGAGAUUAAAAUGCCAAUUGCUUGUUUUGAAGCAAAACGACGGCAGAAAUUACAUAAUCUAAGAAGAUCCAUGUGUAUUUAACAUGUCUGACGAACUAUUUGUGAAGUCUUUUCGGAUCGACAAGUAAACUUUCAAAAUGAUUUUGGAGAAAUAUGAUUUAUACUUUCCUCUAGAUAUAAAAAAUAACAAAGCGGUAAUUUCUGAUAACUUAAUCGGACUGCGUCACCAAAACGAAAAUUGUUAUUGCCCUGGCCAAUUUUUGCGAGCCAAAUUUAAGGUUGGGUUAAAAUAAAACUAUUUAUAAAGAAAGCCCAA
This is a long non-coding RNA of Drosophila pseudoobscura, 414 nucleotides long. RefSeq lists it as uncharacterized. The transcript is spliced from 2 exons. The record is from RefSeq and is a predicted model, not a curated record. Lineage: Eukaryota; Metazoa; Arthropoda; Insecta; Diptera; Drosophilidae.